UACCAGCACCCCGAGUGGUCGGGACGAUUAUUGGGCCUAAAGCAUCCGUAGCCGGCCUUACAAGUCCUCCGUUAAAUCCAGCUGCUCAACAGAUGGGCUGCGGGGGAUACUACAGGGCUAGGAGGCGGGAGAGGCAAGCGGUACUUUAUGGGUAGGGGUAAAAUCCGUUGAUCCAUAGAAGACCACCAGUGGCGAAGGCGGCUUGCCAGAACGCGCUCGACGGUGAGGGAUGAAAGCUGGGGGAGCAAACCGG
This 253-nucleotide ribosomal RNA is filed under the name uncultured bacterium. RNAcentral describes it as "partial 16S ribosomal RNA". It matches the Rfam family "Archaeal small subunit ribosomal RNA", at positions 474 to 727 of the family's 1478-position model. The record is from RNAcentral.